Lathyrus oleraceus (garden pea) is the source of this 570-nucleotide long non-coding RNA. RefSeq lists it as uncharacterized. The transcript has 2 exons. Lineage: Eukaryota; Viridiplantae; Streptophyta; Magnoliopsida; Fabales; Fabaceae. The record is from RefSeq and is a predicted model, not a curated record.
UUGACCUUUUAUCACAAGUCAACUGUCCUAACAAAAACUUCUCCUUCUAAUCACUUGAAUUUUUUAGGGCAUACAUCCACAAACCUGAACUCUAUUUUCUCUCUCAUCACACACCAUUCUACACAAAAUAUUUGUAUUAAGGUCUUCCGAUGUUUUUACUUUUUCACCCUCAAACAUUUAUGUUUAUCUUUAUUUGUGUAGGAAAAAUGCAACCAUGCAUUUAAUGCACGAAGACAAUGUGAAUGACAAUUUGCUUGGACCAAAUUUCUUUGGCUGGACACAUGCACUGGGUCCAACAAUCUUGUGCUGAAUAUUAUAGUAAUGCGACGUUACACAAUUUUAUAUGAACUAGGAGUAACUUUGGAGAAAGGUGUGGAGCCAUAUAAUUGAAAGAAAGCAAUAGUAAGUGGAGGACAGAAUGGUCGCUGUUAAAGCCAGCAUUAUCGAUGAGGCCCAAAAGAAAAGGCUCUUUAGAAUUCUUCUAAGUACUUGUGGACAAUCUUUGCUUAAUGUUUAAGGGUUGAAAAACACAAGUCCAAAAUAAAAUAUAAAGAAAAGGUUUCAUCAUUA